RNAcentral lists this ribosomal RNA (1025 nucleotides) under Sporothrix lunata. RNAcentral's name for it is "eukaryotic LSU rRNA". It matches the Rfam family "Eukaryotic large subunit ribosomal RNA", at positions 1 to 961 of the family's 3401-position model. Lineage: Eukaryota; Fungi; Ascomycota; Sordariomycetes; Ophiostomatales; Ophiostomataceae. The record is from RNAcentral.
AGCGCAGUACCGAACGCAAGUUCUCCUCUCGCCCGGACGCCCCGUCGGCGCCUUGCCAGCCCAAAUCGCGCAUGACGUGCAACUCUUUUACAAGGUUGACCUCGGAUCAGGUAGGACUACCCGCUGAACUUAAGCAUAUCAAUAAGCGGAGGAAAAGAAACCAACAGGGAUUGCCCCAGUAACGGCGAGUGAAGCGGCAACAGCUCAAAUUUGAAAUCUGGCCCCCCGGCCCGAGUUGUAAUUUGGAGAGGAUGCUUUUGGCGCGGCGCCGUCCGAGUUCCUUGGAACAGGACGCCACAGAGGGUGAGAGCCCCGUACGGACGGACGCCUAGCCUCUACAAAGCUCCUUCGACGAGUCGAGUAGUUUGGGAAUGCUGCUCAAAAUGGGAGGUAAAUUUCUUCUAAAGCUAAAUACCGGCCAGAGACCGAUAGCGCACAAGUAGAGUGAUCGAAAGAUGAAAAGCACUUUGAAAAGAGGGUUAAAAAGUACGUGAAAUUGUUGAAAGGGAAGCGCCUGUGACCAGACUUGCGCCCCGUGGACCAUCCGGCGUUCUCGCCGGUGCACUCUGCGGGGCGCAGGCCAGCAUCGGUUCUCCUAGGGGGAUAAAGGCCGCGGGAACGUAGCUCCUUCGGGAGUGUUAUAGCCCGUGGUGGCAUGCCCCUGGGGGGACCGAGGACCGCGCUUCGGCAAGGAUGCUGGCGUAAUGGUCACCAGCGACCCGUCUUGAAACACGGACCAAGGAGUCAAGCAUUGGGGCGAGUGUAUGGGUGCCAAACCCGCACGCGAAAUGAAAGUAAACGCAGGUGAGAGCUUCGGCGCAUCAUCGACCGAUCCUGAUGUCUUCGGAUGGAUUUGAGUAAGAGCCUUACCGCUUGGACCCGAAAGAUGGUGAACUAUGCCUGAAUAGGGUGAAGCCAGAGGAAACUCUGGUGGAGGCUCGCAGCGGUUCUGACGUGCAAAUCGAUCGUCAAAUUUGGGCAUGGGGGCGAAAGACUAAUCGAACCAUCUAGUAGCUGGUUACCGC